GGUAGCAGGCCUUCGGGUGCUGACGAGUGGCGGACGGGUGAGUAAUGCGUAGGAAUCUGUCUUUUAGUGGGGGACAACCCAGGGAAACUUGGGCUAAUACCGCAUGAGCCCUGAGGGGGAAAGCGGGGGACCUUCGGACCUCGCGCUAAGGGGGGAGCCUACGUCUGAUUAGCUAGUUGGUAGGGUAAAGGCCUACCAAGGCGACGAUCAGUAGCUGGUCUGAGAGGACGACCAGCCACACUGGGACUGAGACACGGCCCAGACUCCUACGGGAGGCAGCAGUGGGGAAUUUUUCGCAAUGGGGGCAACCCUGACGAAGCAAUGCCGCGUGGAUGAAGAAGGCCUUCGGGUUGUAAAGUCCUUUCGUGGGGGACGAAAAGGUGGUUCCUAAUACGAACUGCUGUUGACGUGAACCCAAGAAGAAGCACCGGCUAACUCCGUGCCAGCAGCCGCGGUAAUACGGGGGGUGCAAGCGUUAAUCGGAAUCACUGGGCGUAAAGGGUGCGUAGGCGGUACGUUAGGU
Molecule: ribosomal RNA, 523 nt
Filed under: uncultured bacterium
Lineage: Bacteria
Description: bacterial SSU rRNA
Rfam family: Bacterial small subunit ribosomal RNA
Source: RNAcentral